AGGCCAGACCACAGAACCACAAGCGUGGUGCAAUCUGUACUUUUCAGAAGAGCACCUGAAUAUCAACAGCUAGGUUUCUUCUUGUUGCCAAAAGACUGCUUCUCAUCACUUCUUGAGUCACAGUCAGUGCUUUCCUCUUCUUCUUCCUCAAAAAGUGGCAACAUCCAGCAGGACUAAAUUAUUAUCAUAUAAAGGAAAACGUCAUGGCGUCCAAUAGCAUAUUCGACUCAUUUACAACAUAUCCACAGCCCUUUUUACGUGGAGGGGAAAUACAGAAAACAAAGACAAGGAAGGCACAAGACUAUUGCUUUCCUGGGCAAGG
Protopterus annectens (West African lungfish) is the source of this 322-nucleotide long non-coding RNA. RefSeq lists it as uncharacterized. The record is from RefSeq and is a predicted model, not a curated record. The transcript is spliced from 3 exons. NCBI's taxonomy places the organism in Eukaryota, Metazoa, Chordata, Ceratodontiformes, Protopteridae.